GAUGAACGCUGGCGGCGUGCCUAACACAUGCAAGUCGAACGUGAAGCAUGGACAAUUCAUUUCGGUGGAGCGACCAUGUGGAAAGUGGCGAACGGGUGAGUAACACGUAGGUGACCUGCCUCGCAGUGGGGGAUAACCAGUGGAAACGCUGGCUAAUACCGCAUAGUUCCACGGUUACGGGAGUGACGGUGGAUAAAACUUUGGUGCUGCGAGAGGGGCCUGCGACCGAUUAGCUAGUUGGUGAGGUAAAGGCUCACCAAGGCCGAGAUCGGUAGCUGUUCUGAGAGGAAGAUCAGCCACACGGGAACUGAGACACGGUCCCGACUACUACGGUGGGCAGCAGUGAGGAAUAUUGCACAAUGGGGGGAACCCUGAUGCAGCAACGCCGCGUGAAGGAAGAAGGUCUUUGGAUUGUAAACUUCUUUUAACGGGGAAGAGAAUGGACGGUACCCGUUGAAUAAGUCACGGCUAACUACG
This 477-nucleotide ribosomal RNA is filed under the name uncultured Caldilineaceae bacterium. RNAcentral describes it as "bacterial SSU rRNA". It matches the Rfam family "Bacterial small subunit ribosomal RNA", at positions 28 to 505 of the family's 1533-position model. The record is from RNAcentral. Lineage: Bacteria; Bacillati; Chloroflexota; Caldilineae; Caldilineales; Caldilineaceae.